CAUGCAAAAAACGUUAGAAGGCGCUAUUGUGGAGAAUCAAGAGAAACCAAAGCAGGGACAAAAUUGAUUCAGUUUUUUAAGAUAAGCAGUAAGGUAAAGUACACAUCUGCUUGUUCAAAGAUUCUGAAUCAUAGAUGACGUGAAAUGCAAAAAAAAAAAGAAAAAAAAAGAAAUAUGAUCUAGGUGCAGCAAAAGCAGCUUUUUAGAUGUAGUCGAUAUUAAAAAAUGCUAGUUUAAUACAUGUGUAUGACAUUGGAUUAUCUUUAAAAAAAUAGUAAUAGGGCUGAAUUUUCGGUCAGUCAAUCAAGCUUGCAAAACACAGCACAUACAAUUUCAAAAUCAGACUAACCCAGGAGGGAAAGUUUCCUGAUAGCUGGUUGUAGGAAAAGUCUCUACACAAAAGAAAGCGUGUAAAUGUUAUAGAUAAACGCCUUCCUGGUUUUACUUCACAAAUGAAAGUGGACAAACAUACAAGUUUUUAAGAGAAGUUCCUAUAGAACUUGGAAGGCUUCCUGAAAGACUAUUAUUCCCGAGAAACCUGGGCAGACCAAAUUUGCGCAUUAACAAGAUUGAUGAUCAUUGUCAUCAGAACCUAGAAAUAAGUAUCAGAAGGCAAGAUAAACCAUACAAGAAGCUGAGUGAAUUCAGAUUCAGCAGAGCUUGUGGUACCUGGCCAGUGAUAUUGUUAAAACUCAAAUCCCUGUAACAGUAGAACAAAUGAGACUAGGAGAGAAAGGGGUCAUCAAACAAUGCAUAAUCCACAGCAGUUCAUUAAAGCAUCUAGCAAAACAUACAGUUGACUGGAGUUUAGGAAGAAACAAAAUGUCUUACAGUAGGGUUAAUGUUGCAAACUGUGAAAAGUUUACUGAUGCCAGGUUAUCAGAUAUCUUGCAGUUCCUCAAAACUCUGCAAUGAAACAUGUCAAGAGUUUUCAGAUUUAACAAUUGGUUACACUACAGAAAAUAUUAAGAUGUAGUUUGAGUCAUCAAAUGAAUGGCAAGUUAUGCAUACAAGGUGUUCAAAGAUGUCAUGUUACUGAUGAAUGCCAGUGAAGAACUUCCAUUUACUAUGUCACCUAUUCGUCUGCACCACAGGAAUAGAUAGUUCAUUCUUCCCAUCCGCAGGUCUUGAAAUUUAAGGAUGAUAGUACGUACUCUUUCCAUAAGUAGUCACUUACAAGCUUGUCAGUUCGACGAGAUUAGAAAGUGUGGUCGGAAGGGGACCUUGAAACGAAUUGCCUUGAAACCGCCUACAAAUUGAAAUUAUUGUUACAAUUUUUCAAGCAUCAUUUAUUUACCAAUGUGUUUACCUACCCUAGUAAAGAAACAAGAAAGAUGGGACUUCUUAGGUAAAACAAGAAAUUUAUAAUGAAAAGUAUUAGAAAAAAGUUCAAAGAUUACUAAUACGAGUACCCAAAACGUAGCAUCGUAUUAUAAUGAAUAGUGAAACAAAAAGAUUUAAUAUUUACUAAUAUGAUAAUAAUAGCUCACACCUGACCUAAAUAAAUUAGUUAAGAGGCCACUAAAUGGAAAUCAGUAGAGUAAAAGACACAUACACUUUUCUUUCGUUUUUUUUACUUGAACACACAGGAGAACUAUGUGUCAUUGCAUUAAGAAGACAAAAGUGCUGAAAAUUUAUAGCAGAUUUUUGAUCAUCACAUUCGCACCCUUGAAUAUGUGGAUACUACCCGACUACUUGACUCUAUGCUCUAGUUGCUACUAAAGCCACUAAGUCCUUAGCACUGACAAGACACCAUAGGUGAGCUUCUUUCUCAGGCUCUCAGCAACCUGUAAUAGGUGCUGGAGUGAAAGACCUAGACACUAAUCAGAAUGAACUCAUUUACAUAUGGCAACGAGUGAAGUAGGUAUAAAAUGAAUGUCCUACUUCAGUACCAACUUAAGUUCUGAUAAAAAUAAAGAUUGACUUGUGGAGAGCUAUAGCUUGUUGUAUCUAUACUAUUUGGGGUGAAAAAAAGGACCAAACAAUUAUGAAAAUGAAACAACAUAUGUUGCUAUUUUCAAUUAGGAAAUGAUUGCAAAUAAUGAAGAUUAAUUAAGAAAAAACUUACAGUUCUGUUAAAUUAGCCCAGUUCCCAAUAUAAUCUGGUAUUUGCCCAGUAAAAUCGUUAUCUGAUGCCCACCUGAACACAAAGAACAGUAACAAAUAGGAUUGAGUGGAAUGGAACAGUACAGUCAACAAAACAUCUCUUAUAUGCAUACAAUGUUUUCAUCUUGUAAGACUGGAUAGCGAUGAUGGUAAGGGACCACUUAAGCCAGCGCUGUCAAUAUACCUGCAAUUAAGAGAUGCAAAUAUAAGCAUAGAAAUAAGGAGCCGACUAAUUCAAGCAAACAAUUGUAGGAAAGAAAUAUAUAUAGUGCCCAAAACAAGUUAACACGCACAGUUGCUCAAGUUUAACCAAAUUCCCUAGUUCCAACGGAAGGGAAUCAUUUAAGUUGUUUGAGCUAAAGGACCUGAAACCCACCCAAAAAAAUAUAGGUUAAUCACAAAAAAUGAGAAAUAUCUAUUCCUAGAAGCAUAAUUACUGGCAGAAAGCUACAUUUCUAGACAGUGGUUAAUCAGUUGAAGGAAUGAAGAUGUUAAGUAGAGAUCUCUAACCUUUCCUAGUGAAAUACAGUGAUACAAGAUUAGUAAGGUUCCACAUUACAAAAAUUUAUUUCUUACAGCAUUACGAGAUUGGUAAGGUUCCCGAGCUCCUUUGGAACAGAUCCGGAUAAUGAAUUGAUGCUCAGAUUCCUGUGUAUUGAACAGAAUGAGAUGAUGUUUUGAUGUUAAGCAAAAAUAUGUAAUGUAAUAACGGUUUAAGAUUCAAAUCUCACAUGUACUGCAUAGCAGUCAAUUUCCCGAGGAACGACGGUAAAGGCCCUGUUAAGUAAUUUUGUCCUAAGUUCCUGAAACAACAUCAGAAAAGAUAUUAACAAAGAUUAAAGUUGGCUCAUCAUGUUUGAAUUUGAGUGUAAUGUUGGAAUAUGGUAUUUCCAGAAUAUUACAAUUAUGCUGAACCUCUAGAAUAUCUUCAUAAAGAAAUAGGUCAUAGGCAUCAGCUAUUUACAAAGUCCCCCAAAAACCACAAUCCACAAGUAAAAUCCUAUUGGACCCUUCAGGUACAAUGCAAGAAAGUUGAGAGUUCAUACAGAUUAGUCAAACGCGUGAGGUUCUGUAGUUCUGCUGGUAUCGCACCAACCGCAUUCAGCGCAUAUAUUUUCCUGCAAGCGAGAAAAGUCAAGUAAAUGGACCGUCAGCUCACACUAUCUCAAUUUAACCAUCAUCAUCGCUGUUCGUCAGAUAUAAACACCAGCAGGAGGCGUAUGGAGCACCGCUGAAUCCUCUAGCUAGCACUUUUCAGAUACAGAGGUAACAACGUACUAGCACAGCGAGGCGGACGCAUCGCAUACCCAAAGGCUCGGUACAAACAGCGAAACCUCCGGCAGGCCAUCCCUCGAACACCUGCCGUGCGGAGCGGCAACACGUGAGCUCUGAGUUGGCGACUUACAGCUUUGUGACGUGGCAGACGGUGUUGUUCUGGCCGGAGCACUCGCACUUGAUGGCCGGGUUGAAGUUCGGGUCUGUGUCGAUGUUGGUGUCGUCCGUGGCGGCGCCUGUGCAGGGGUCACCGCUGAUGUUCCAUGCCGACGCCGCCGUCUGGCCGAGCUUGGCGAACACCGCGUUCACCGCCGCCGCUGCAACGAUAUCGAAUUGAAACCGUGAUCAGAUUCACAUGUGACGGCGAAAAGGUAAGUCUACUACACCACCUAGCUUGGCCGUCUUUUAAUUUCUUCCAGGAGGAGGAACGUAUAAUUUUCAAGCGAAUGAGGAUGAAACAUCCUCACGUGAAAGCAGUUUAUACUUUCAUAGGAGUACAUGAGAUGGAACCUACAAUCCCCUAGGAAAGCUGAUCGAUCAGGAACGAACAGCUCAUGGAAAGCUCUUUUUUAAGAUAAAGGAAUGAUAUCCGGCCUUAACAUUCACAAGUGAAUAACAUUCAUGGAAAGCUCUUAUGUUUCAGGAAUAGGAAACGAGGUGGGCAUACCUUCAGUUGGAUCUGUCCUUGUUCUUGGUGCCGCUCGUCGAGCUCCGGCAGAUGCAACUAGAAGAAUCUGCAGCACGGAGAACACGAAACCUUGUAGACAAGAACUCGAUUUCAACCUCAUCUCCCUCCUGCAUCUGCUCCCGCUAGCUUGGGCGCCGUCGCACUACUAACGUCUCCUAGCCUCAUAAGAAGUUUGUUUGUUUUUCCACGCGCAAUAAAUUUGCAUCUGCCAUGAAAACAAUUGCACAUGAGUGGCUACAUACUUUUCAAAGCCUUCUCACACUCCUUCACAACUAAAUAAAGCUCGUGCCGACAUAUAUUAGCCCAGAUCAUUCAUGACUGUCACUGUCAUGUUCUAGAUUUACCCCGGAGAAUAAUGAAAUGUUUGCAAUGGACCAAUUCAAUUUAAUGUAGCGCGUGAGGUGGGGGAGCAAACUUUUCUAGCUUCACCAGCUCCUCCUCCAUAACUGUAGUGCAAUGUAUCUCAUCAUAGCGCGUGCUGAUCUGAAGGUGGAGGUGGGGGAGCAAAUUUUUCUAGCUUCACCGACUCUUGUUCUUCCUCAUUUCCUUUUUAGCUUCAAUAUGGGUUGACUCCUCGCUGCAGCACAGCACAACAGCUAUACAAGUAGCGUGAUAGAGGAGACACGAGCCGUGAGGGAGCAGUGCCAAAGGGUCAUACGGGUGUCUUCCUCUAUUUUCUUUGCAACAAUCGAUCGCAGCACAUAACCUAACACAAAAUAUGUGCAAAAGCUGAAUAUAUAUAUAUAUAUACGGAAUAAGCUAUUCGGUACCCGAGCCAUCCGUCGAACCAGCCUGCCCCCGUCACGCCGCUUGCCAGUUGCAGUUUUGCGCUCCGUUAUUUAUCUUUUGGGCUGCAUGUUCCAAAAAACUGCCUCGUAAUACAGCUGAGAUCGUGGGUUCGAAUGAAAUUGGCAGUUCUCCCGUGGAUCCUCCGCUCCAUAUCGACGGCACCGCCGCAAAAUCCCGCGAUUUGUUUGCUGGCGCCCUUGUAGCACUCACGCGCCGCGAAGCUCCUCCGUCGGUCAUCGUCGCCCUUCUGCCGCCUGCCUGCUUGAUUGCGCGAGCUCGACCGGCGGAUCCAGCGCCGGCUCUGCAUCUUGCAUCGGAGGAGCACCGUCAUGCGCGGGCUAUUGGCUUCGGUGCCGACCUCGCAUUCGCCGCUCGCUCCAUCGACGAUAUGCGCCGCCCCAACCUCUGCUCGUGUAGAGCAUGCCUAUCCCCCGGCCGAUUCGCAGCGUGGCUGGAGAAGGGAGCUCGAGGCCUCGAGCGCUGCCGCCCAUUCAUCUCCCGAGCCCAAGUGCCGACGACCGAUUUGAGCCUGUCCUUCGCCGAUUCGAGCCAGUCCGCACCGAUUCGUCGUCCUCCACAGGUGGUCCUCUCCUCCCCCGAGCGCGGCUGCCGCUGUGUGAGCUACACCCCCGCUCAAGCCCAUCUCUGCCCCCAAGCUUGACGCCGGUGUCGCUGCUGCCCACAGGCCCUCCGUCCCAAGGUCGUCAGGCUGGAGGUCCCGCAGGUCCACUGCGGAGCUCGCUCACGCAGGCCCAUGGCUGGAUCUCGCACGGAUCCGGCAAGGACUGGUCCGGCAGCUCCCUGCUACGACGUUCUUAUCGGGUGGCUUUUCAUUGGAGGCAGUGGUGAGGUCGUUGAACUCCUCAGUCCCCUUCCCCUUUCCUCGAUGUCACAGCUCGAUCUUUCAUUGUUCUGCAUACACGUGUGUGGUUCAGUGGACAAUUCGAUUGGUCAGAAAGUCAGAACCAUAUCUACAUCGUCGAUUUGAGUUGCUCCCUGAGAUUCUGCAUCAUGGGUCGGUGCCGGAGCUUGUAUUGUGAAUUUGUGAUCCAGAUUAUUGGAUUCUUGUUUCUGUAACCUGUAAAUGUCAAUUGAGCUUGAUAGAAUAUUUGGUUUGAGUUUCUAUUUUUCUAAGUCUGAACUAAUUGAUGAAAACCAGAUGUUCUACGAUGCUGCUAGUGUUAUAAUACAACCUAUAUGUUUUUCUUAGACAUGAAUACACUCUCGCUAGUCCAAUUGCAAUCCUCCAAUGAAAUCUCCCAGUAAUGUAGGAAUUAUAAUUGUUCUAUAUUAGUGUAGAAGAAACAGACAACUCUUGCCUUGCCUUGUUUGUUUGUUUUGUUGUUUUUUAUCUUGCAAGUGAAUCUUCGGUUCAUGGAUGCUGUUGCCAUUCGUUGAUCUCGCGAAUGACUUAUUAAAUUCUCAAACUCAUUUCUCUUCUGUAUGCCUGCAGAUUGAAGCCUUAGGGUCGAGGUAAGAGGCCAAGAGCAAUGAGCUCCGAGGGUGUACAAAGUAGCAGCUAGAAAAGGCUAUAUUUAAAAUACCACAUGUGCACUAUAUUUAAAAUAUUGCAUCGUAAUUUUAAGAAAAGGCUAUCACUAGUUGAUAAAUGGAAGAAACAGCUAGAAAACCAUUUAUAGCUCUAUUAUAUAUAUGUAAAAACUUACUAUACAGCAGAUUGAACAUAUUAAGUAAUAAGCUAUGAUCAGCACAAACAGAGUGCUUCAUUUCUGCAUAUUCUUUCACCAUAUGGCACAUACAAUGAUACAAAGAAUGAACUCUGGAGAUUCAGUUAAAUAUAGUGACAAUCCUAGCUGAAGAAAUCCUCUUUUAACUAGACAACACAUAAGCAGGAAACGUGGAUAUUGCUCACAUAGCAAAUGAAUGUUUAUAUACUGUAUUAACUAAUGCACUAAAACCUCAAGGACAUGUGGACAUGCCUAAUUUGAUCAAGCGGUUAUCAAGACACCAAUUUUAUGAAUAUAAUGUUAAAUAACAGAAGCAUAUUGUGGAAGAAAGGACCUUCUAGUUGAGCAGUCACAUAGUCAUGCCUGCCGAAGAUGCUUUGACCCUCUCUCCAAUCUGCACACACAGGGAAAUUAGUAAUGAAUAAUAGAGUAAUCAUGUGAAAAAAGAACUUCAUGAUGCUCACGUCACUAAAUUAGGUUCCUCAUUGCAAAUAACAUAUGUACUGGCAAAGACACCUAUGCUGAUGUACUCAUGAUCUGCACUGAGAAUUGAAAAAAAUAUUACUAAUUUUUCAGACUACACAGUACACACAAGUGCCAGAGAUAACUGAGAACAAAGAAAUCAAGUAUUGAAUGCAAAUGGCAAUCAAACUGACAUUUCGAAAAAAACAAAUAACCAGCGUGGGAGGGGCUCGGGUACGGAAUAGGGUAUUCCGUACCCUAGGUACCGAAUAGCGGAGGCAUAUAUAUAUAUAUAUAUAUAUAUAUAUAUAUAUAUAUAUAUAUAUAUAUAUAUAUAUAUAUAUAUAUAUAUAUAUAUAUAUAAAAUAUAUAUAUAUAUAUAUAUACUGAGAACGUUUGUGACGUGCAUUUACAGAAAACUGUCCGUCAACUUGCAAAUCACCGGCCUUCUUCUCGAUUACGGAGCUAGCUAAUGAACGGCGAAGAAGUGUGAGAUGAGGCGGCUAUCACAACCGAUUUUAAAAUAAAACCAAAUGCUACCUAUACAGGAUCUAGUUGCAUACAUAUAGCGACAUCAUUAGUGAAUAACAAUAACAGUAUCACAUAAAGGUAUAUAAAUAAUUCAUCUUCAAGUUUAUUAACCAUGUGAGGGUACAGGCCGCUCUUGACCGUGAGCACGACCGAUAUACUAAUUUUACACUCUAUAGAGGUUGUACACUUUCACCAUAAGUCGCGUAAAAGUUCAAGAGAACUUUAGACCCAACCAUGUUGUGCAAAAGUAGGCACUUAUCACACUACCGAGGUGUGACUGCAAAGAGACGCUACGAGGCCUUUACAAAUAUUCCCUAAUACGUGAUAACCCGUUAAGGUUUUGGUGUCUGGCGCACAUAAACCUCUCUAAUGGGCAUAGUGUUUUAGCAAAGCUCACUUCCCAAGUGGACCGGGCUAUACAACGACUCAGUCCCCCCUCUUGCCCUUUCGGUAAGAUUACCCCAACUAGAGUCCCCCCUUGCCCUUUCAGUAAGAUCACCCCAACUAGAGUCUCUAAUUAAUUAGCCAAGACCGAGCCAGAUAGAGUCUCUAAUUAAUUAGUCAAGACCAGAGUCAUAUAGUUCUUGUGGUUGCACUAUUUUUCUAGGUGGUCGCUCCAUGUCCAAUUAAUACAUGCAUGGUAUUCUUGUAAAUAAGCAAGACAGAAGGAUGGUUAGAAACUUUGAGAUAAACUAUUUGGAUCACUAAAGCACACAAAACUAUGCUUGAAAAGGAAAAGCUUGGUUAGAUUCAUGAAAGAAACAGGUCUGAGGUGGAACUGGAACUGGAAGAACUGGAAAGAUCUAAAGCUUUACAGAACACUAGAUCUUCAAAAGAGAUACUGAUCUAAAGCUAAUAAAGAACGGCUAUCAAACGAUUUUCAUUUAUGAGAGCACAAAAAACUAUAGACUAGGUUUAUUUUAAUUAGAAAACCUUUACAUUUCAGAAAGGAAAUACCCUCAGUUCGAAUUAAUGCAAAUUAUACUUUAUUUACAAAGAUCGAGGUAAAAACCUAUUCAAGUUUUAUUUAUAAAUGUUCAUGUAUAAAUUACACCAAUUACUCACUUAACUUUAGAAAAGCUAAUAUUUUAUGAUUCAAGUCGGUUAAAUGUUAUUGAAAACAUAUUUCCGUUCAUAUUAUUCAAGUUAAUAUUCAUUUACAUCAUCAAAAAUCAUAUAGGCGAGACGAGCGGCGUGACGUGUAACAAUGUAGGCAUGGUUCCAUGCAUGUUGGACGAAGCAACGGUGUGUGUGGUAUUAGCAUGAUGAAGCACAUAGAAUUCCUGUUCUGACGAGAAGGCAAAGCAGAGCGCUAUAUGGUAUUCGAGCUAAUCGCGAACAAACUGGACAUACCUUCAGUAGGAUCUGUCCUUGUCCUCUGUGCUUGCUGAGCUCCGGCAUGCAGAUACAAAGAGAUGAAGCAGUAGCACCAAGAGCACGAAGCCAUGGAGACAAGAGCUCGGUUUCAACCUCAGCUCUCUCCUCUCUGCUCUAGCUUGGUUUGGUGGGGAGAUAUAUUACACGAUGACCCAGCAUUUAGGAAUGGACAUUGUCUCAGCUGGGAAGGUAUCAAUGGGUGAUAUUGCUCCACCUCGAGUGUAGAGUGGGAGUGAACUUACACGUUCUAAAAUAUAAACUCUUGGUACGCCGCUGGAGAGGAGGCAUCGCUGGAGUCGCACUUCGCUUGUUGGGCACGCAUCACCCAUCUGCUCUGUAUGGGUCUCUUUGGCACAGCUCCUACCAGUAGCGCAUUAUAUCUCAUCGUAGCGCAUGCCGGAUCUGAAGACGAGGGAACAAUUUUUUCUAGCUUCACCGGCUCCUCCUCCAUAACUAUAGUGCAAUGUAGCUCAUCGUAGCAUGUACCGGAUCUGGAAGCGGGGGAGCAAAUUUUUCCAGCUUCACCGGCUCCUCCUCUUCCUUAGUUCCUUUUUAGCUUCAACCUGGGUUUUGACUCCUCGCUACAGUACAGCACAACAGCGAUACAAGUAGCGUGACAGAGGAGACAAGAGCCAUGAGAGAGCGGUGCAAAGGGGUAUGACCAAAGGGGUCAUACGGGUGUCUUCCUCUAUUUUCUUUGCGACGGGAAGAGGUAAACAUACGGGUGGGGGCAUCAAGCUAAGUGCACGAGAUUGUGCUCAGAGAAAAUCUUGCUGCUUCUUUUCGAUCAUAGAUCGGGUUGGCAUCGUCCUGUUGUUCUGUUGUAAAUCAUAUAUACAGAUCCAGAUAGACCAAACCCUCCAACAUCAUCAUUUGGUCAUGGACUCAAAAAUCAAACCAAAACUUGACCCGAAAAAGAAAAUCGAUCUAAGCCGGGCGAAGCAACAAUCGAUCACAGCACAUAACCUAACACAAAAUAUGUGUAAAAGCUGAAUAUAUAUCCUGAGAACGUUUGUGACGUGCAUUUACAGAAAACCGUCCGUCAACUUGCAAAUCACCGGCCUUCUUCUCGAUGACGGAGCUAGCUAAUGAACGGCGAAGAGGUGUGCGACGAGGCGCCCCUUGGGGCCAAGCUCGACUGCCCGCUCAUAUUGCUGCUCAUGAAGCUGCUGGUGUUGCCUCCCUUGAUCUGCCAUUUGGUAAUGUAACAACCAUGUCUUUCUCUCACCUUCCCUUCUCUCCCUCUAUAUUUUAAAAUAUCCUACGCAGCAUUAACAUGGCUGACUUAGGUAUUUCUUUAAAACAAGUAUAUUGGUGCCGUUUAACAGGUAGUCUUGUGCAUUGCCCGGUAACCUUUGAGAUGACUUUUUUUUCGAGAACAGGCAGGGAAGCUACGUAUCUUUAUAUUAAGAAAAAAACUAAUAGUUUUACGACGCGGACCAACCGGGCACACGCACACGGUCUGAUUUCUUCGUUGUCAAUUAUACAAGUAAAGAAACAGCCAGAAGAACACAUGAAAAAAACUAGGAAGCUAAGAGAGACCUAGGACUCCUACUGCAGCCGGCCAUCCCAAGGAGGCCAGAUGCUUAGCGCCGGCGUUGAUCCAGAGCUGAGCCUCUUCAAGGAUCACGCUUGACAAUUGUGCUGCUGUUUUGGCUAGGUUUCUGCUUAAAAACUCUGUCAUUUCUCUCUUUCCAGAUUUUCCAGGAGAUCAACAUGAAUGUGGAAUCCAUUCCUUUUUUCUUGAUUUUGUUCAUUCCCCGCCUCUUUUGUAGCCACCGAUCUAUUGCCGUCAUGUCAGGACUUGGCGCUUGCCUUUGCAAGUUCAGCAUUCUGCUAGCUGCUUGCCAGACCUCCUGUGUGUAACAACACCUAGCAAAAAUGUAGUCAGCUGUCUCCAAUUCUUGAUCACAAAGUGCACAUGCUGUGUGAUCUUGCAACCCAUGUCUUUGUCUCCUGUCUGCUGUCCACAAUCUAUCUCUGAUGGCAAGCCACAUGAAGAACUUCACUUUCAGUGGCGCCCAUGUCUUCCAGAUAGCGCUUGCUGCAGCAAAGUGCGUUGCCCCCUCGAAGAGCAAUCGGUAUGCGGACUUGGCUGUGUAUAUGCCCGAGGGAUCCCAUCUCCAAGAGAUGAUGUCCUCUAUUCCCGGCCGGAGCUGAAUCCCAUGGAUCGUGUGCCAAAGCUGCACAUACUGUGUUAGAGCAGUCACUGUUAAUCGUCCGGCAAUAUCGCGUAUCCAUUGCUUCUCCUGAAAUGCUUCAGCAACUGUCCUCCUUUUCGUAGUCCUUGGCCUGAUAAGCUUGCAAAAGAUCAGGCGCAAUGUCACAGGGUGAUGACGCUCCAUUCCAUCUGUCCUUCCAGAAGAGCGCUAGAUUGCCGUCCCCCAGUUGCACAUCGAUAGAAACGUGGAACAUCUGCUGAAGUAAGGAGUCAUCUCCAAACUCAAUCUGCAGGUGUUUCCUUGGCCUGUUUGCAUCAGUACAUUGUAGCCACAACCAUCUCAACCUUAGGGCAUAUGAAGCCAUUCUUAGAUCCUGUAGCCCCAGCCCUCCAAAUUUCACCGGCCUGCAGACACCAGUCCAGGCAACAAGACAUUGUCCACCAUGAGCUCUAUCCUUCCCUGCCCAUAGGAAACCCCGACGGCGCUUGUCGAUUUCCUGGAAGACCCAGUCUGGAAUUUUCAGUGAGAUGAUGGUGUGGAUGCAAAUGGCACUCAUGACAACCCUGACUGUUGUUAGUCUUCCAGCUUUAUUCAUCAGGGGUGCUCUCCAAGUCGGCAUACUGCUGGUCACCUUGUCCACCAGUGGCUGGAGGUGUGCUUUCCUUAGGCGACCUGUCAUCAGAGGUAGUCCAAGAUACUGUAUUGGAAACUCCGCUAUCUUUGAGACGACCUAAUAGAUAACUGUAAAGCAUGGCUUGUUGAGAUGCCGGUGGGCUAGUACCUUGGUGAUGAGCGAUUGACAACACGGUGUGCGUGUGACGUGUCUCUUGGCAGGUGUGGUUGCAGGUGACAGGUGGAGACGAGGUACAUGCGGCGACGAGUGAAGAACGGGGAUAGGAUGCCAUGCCGAUGAACCGUGGGACGGUGAAGGGUGGAUCAAGGCUCGCGUUCGAGGGACAGGCGAUCGUGCGGUGUAUGUCUACUGUACCUGGCUACACGGCGAGAGGACGUCAAGGGAGGUUUUCGGAUUACACCAUAAAAUCCGGGGUUCGCUGGUUGAGCCAUAAAGCCAUGCAUCGUACCGGGACGCUCGUGCGGCGAGCGUUGGCCGAAGAUGGAAAUUCCGGCGAUCGCGAUACGAUUUCGGAUGGUCGUGCGGCGACAUCGCGAGGAUCACAUCACGGAGAUGGAGGAAUCGCGGACAUCGCGGAAUUUGUCAUGGAGGACGUAACUGGAAUUUACGCACCUACGUUAAAUUUAUUUAGCGUAGGGGGUUAUGUGUAAAUAGGCCGUGCCACCCUAAGGAUAUAAAUACGUGGCACCUAGGGUUGAGAGAGUUGGAGCCCUUUUGCUACAGGCGGCGCUACAGUACUCGGCGCUACAGUAACUCGCGAUUACUGUUCAUCGCGAUUAUUGUUCAUCGCGGUUACUGUUCACGCGCGGUACUGUUCAUCGUCGCAGGUACUGUUCAUCUCUCUCUAGUCUAGCCUAGGGUUUCAAUCUAAGUGAGGGAUUUUUAUUGAUCUCUCCAAUUAAGAGAGGAAGGAUGUUUGGGCGGAGGCUAGAUGCACUUUUGUAAGCACAUUACUUGUCUCAAUUUUUCAUAUUAGUGAAUUAAUCUAUGUGCUUGUGCGUCAUGUUGUGCUGAGGUUAAGAUUGAUUUGAUCCAUCUAAAAUCAUGCUAGGGCAUCUUAUUAGAGCUUAAUCUAUUCUCGUCAUUGUCUGAUACAGUCUGCUUGUUCCUUUAAUAUCUCAAGAUCCGAAAGUCCGAUUGACAUGAUUCCAGUUGGGUUAGUUGCAUAAUUUUGUAUGGAUUUUUCUGUCAAAUUUUUAGGUUGAUCGGUCUUACGGAUUUUCGUCCAUAUCUUUUUUAUUAAGGAAACAGUAUUCUGUCCAGAUUUGAAAAACGUGAUUUAAUUAGGUUUUGAGAGGAAGGGGAAGUGUUAAACUUUAUUUUUUGAACUUGCGCCCAUUCACCCCCCCUCUGGUCGCCGUUUCGGUCCUUCACUUGUGUCUUUUACUUGUGUCAUAAGUAUAGAAAAAGAAAUAUUGUGUGAGUUGCAUGGAAAUAACAAACUCGUAUAAUGAUGAGAGCGUGUUUCAGGAGGGGAGAUUCCCCCUGCUGGUCUGCAUGGUCUGUUAAGUCUAUGUAUUCUUGGCUGUAGGCAUUCAUUCGUGGAUAACUAAGGCCGGAUGAUUUUAUCCUUAAUCUAAAAAAAUAAUGAUGAGAGCGUGGUUCUAUAAUCCUAAAUUUUUACAUUAUGAGUUGGUUGUUUCACGAACAGUCACUUCCUUCUCUCCCCUUCACAUCAUCGAAAAUCAUAUAUGGGGAGACGAGUGGCGUGGCGUGGCGUGUAACAAUGUAGGCAUGGUUCCAUGCAUGUUGGACGAAGCAACGGUGUGUAUGGUAUUAGCAUGAUGAAGCACAUAGAAUUCCUGUUCUGACGAGAAGGCAAAGCAGAGCGCUACAUGGUAUUCGAGCUAAUCGCGAACAAACUGGACAUGCCUUCAGUAGGAUCAGUCCUUGUCCUCUGUGCUUGCUGAGCUCCGGCAUGCAGAUACAAAGAGACGAAGCAGUAGCACCAAGAGCACGAAGUCAUGGAGACAAGUGCUCGGUUUCAACCUCAUCUCUCUCCUCUCUGCUCCAGCUUGGUUUGGUGGGAGAUAUAUUACACGAUGACCCAGCAUUUAGGAAUGGACAUGGUCUCAGCUGGGAACGUUACAAGAAGCAACAGUUCUACAAAGUACACUAAAGUCACGAAGAUGACGGAUGGUGACCCUGUUAGAAGAGUCAGAGCGGUUGCAAUCGUUGAGGCCUUACAGGUUUUUUGACCUAUUCCUGACGCUUCAAUAUGGAAUAUCUUUUUUUUUCCUUAGAUGCACAAUAGAUCUAUGCAACUGUCUUGAAGACGACUUGCUCAUGGUUGGCAUUAUACAUUUUUCAAAGAUUUAGAGCAGCUAAGCACGGGCCGACAGUCAGAUAUCUAGCUCAAAGCAUUCAAGAUUGUGAGAGAUGCAUUUCCCAGAAUGAGUUGUUUGCCAUGGACAAACUGUAGGAAUUCAGACCAGAUCAAGAUGGUAAUUAAGGUCACCUGCUUUCGACAUGGACAUACAAUAGUCGAGUAGUUCUAAAUUUUGCCUGCCUACUUAGCUUUAGUGUGAAGUGCGAGAACAGUUUCAUGCACGCAUUGAAAUCGCACCUAAAAUUUCCUCAAAAAGAAGAAGAAAAGUUGAACAGAAAAGAUCCACGCGAAGCGACCAUCAAGCACAGCACAUAACCUAACACGAUAUUAUGUAGCAUUUACACACAAAAAAUGUACUAAUAAUUUUGCUACAUCAAACAUUCUAACGUGACGUAAAUCUUGAAAACCAUAUAUGCACAUCCAAAUAGACAAGAGCCUCCAACAUCAUCACCAUUUGAUUAUGCAUACAAAAAUUGGACUGCAUACGAUUCAAAAUGGAACAAAAAAUUUGCCUAAAAAGAAAAUUGGGCCGAAAAAGAUCUACACGGAAGCAACAAUCGGACACAGCACACCACCUAACACAAUAUAUGUGCAAAAGCUGACAAUCCCGAGACUGUUUGUAACGUGAAUUUACAAGGAACAAUCCGUCGAUCGCUUGACCGAACUUGCUAGUCAUCACCGGCCUUCUUCGAUGACAGAGGUCAGGUAUGGAGACGAUGUGUCUGACGAGGCUGCCCUCCGUGCCAAGCUCGACUGCCCGCUGACAUUGCUGCUCAUGAAGCUACUUGUGUUGCCGCCCUUGAUCUGCCACUCAGUGAUGUAGCUGGGCUUGUUCACCACCUCACCCACCUCCACGUCUCCUGCCAGCAUCGACACAGCCCGGGACAUGGCCGGCCGCUGGUGGGGCGAGCCCUGGGUGCAGAGCAGGGCCACGUGGAUCGCACGGAGCACCUCGUCACUGUUGAAAUCAGCAAGCUUGGGGUCUAUCAUGUCCAGUGGGUGGUUUUCCUCGUACAGUUGCCAGACCUGAAAUCAUAGAGAGAAGAUAAGCUGCCAGGUUGGAGUAGCUUGUCUUCUUCAGGCAAAUUCACUAAUUCGGAUAUAUAAUAUGUCUGCCAUGUUAGUCAAAAGAAGGAAAUUAAAAUGUGAUCAACCUCUUGUACUGCAAUAACAUCCGUCAUGCUGGCAUGCUGAAAUUUAGCACACUACUAUAUUCAAGUAGGAUAUAAACCUAAGUAUAGCACAAUUAGCAUUUUAUUUAUAGUUUAGCAAUUUUGCUGAAAUUUAGCCCACUACUGUAUUCAAGUAGUGUAUAAACCUAAGCAUAGUACUAGAAUUUUGUUUACAGGUCAGCAAAUUCACGCAAUUUUUUCCUAACACAAUGAUGUGGCAAACAGUGAUGUAAUGAAGGCUUGUGAACUCCAUUAUAAAUUCCUAGCAUAAACUUUACAGACGAUUUGACCAAUAGUACGGAAACUAGAGUGCAACAAUGCCUUGCCUCAAGUUUAGAGUUCAGAGUGAACUUACCCAUUCUAAAAUAUAAACCUUAUCUUCAUCAAGUGUAUUGUCAAAGUUUGGCCUUCCAGCUAAAGUCUCCAAAACAACCACGCCAAAUGCAAACACAUCAACUUUCUCCGUCAUAUGACCUCUCAUGGCAUACUCAGGUGCAAGAUAACCACUUCACAGAAUAUUUACAAGAAGUUUUAUAUUAGCUCACAUGUGAAAAAUACUAACAUAAAGGGGGAAAGAUAGAAAUGUACUUACAAUGUACCAGCAACUUUUGUGCUGACAUGUGUCUUCUUGUCAUCAUAAAGUUUGGCGAGCCCAAAAUCAGAGAUCUUAGGGUUAAGAUUGGUGUCAAGUAAGACAUUACUAGCCUUUAUGUCCCGAUGCACGACACGGAUGGCAGACUCUUCAUGGAGGUAGGCAAGACCUCUUGCAAUGCCCAAGCAUAUCUCAAAGCGUGUUUGCCAGUCCAAGUUCAGUCUCCCACUACCUGCAAAUAAGUGUUUAUUUUUUAAUGUCCAUGUAACAAAUGUGAACCCCCCCCCCCCCCCACACACACACACACGCGCGCGCAAAUACACACAUUCAUAGUUGCACUAAUUGAAUGAACUCGUACCAAACAGUGCUUUAUCAAGGCUUCCAUUCUCCAGGUACUCAUAAACCAACAGCGGUUUAUUGCCCUCAAGGCAGCAACCAUACAACUUAACGAGAUUCUUGUGUUGCACUCGAGAAAUAGUUUCUAUUUCAGUUGCAAAUUCCUUUUUUCCCUGAUUAGAUGUUUCAGAUAGCUGUUUCACAGCCACCACCCUUCCAUCAGUUAAUUUACCCUGCAAGAAGAUGCCAUUUUAUCAACCAUGUGCAGAAACUAGAAAAUAAACUGGAAAACAAUAGAAAAAAGGGAAUGUAGUGGGGAAUGACCCCACUGGUGUGUGUGUAUUAAUAUUAUAUUAGUGAAAAUAAAUUAAAGGAGUUCACAGCACCCAAAAUAUUGUUGAGCUAACAAAGCUAGCUGAUUUUCCAUAACAAAACACACAGAUGGGAACAUCCUUUAGCUUUGCGCAACUUAGAAAAGCUACUUUUAGAAGGAAAUUUGAUGGCAGAUUCAUAUCCUUGUGUACUUCUGAUGGACUAACCUUAUAAACUGAUCCGUAUCCCCCUUCGCCAAGAAGGUUAUUUGAACUGAAAUUUUCAGUAGCGGUCCUUAGUUCACCAUAACUGAGUACGUUAGGUCUUCCAACAAUACUGUACAGCUCUACAAACAUAGCCAAAAGACGACUUCAGAAAUAUGGCCCUUAUCUUGGUUAAGAUUUAAGAAUACAUUGUGAUACUUGAUUAUGGAUGUACCUUGUUGCUCCAAUGCUAGUUUCCUCCUUUUCUGCCUCCACAUACAAAGUCCAGCAAGUGCUACUAGUACCAAAACUGCUGCACCAAUCACAACUCCAACAACUAUACCGGUUUUGUUACUACUAUUCUUCUGUGCAGCGCUACGCACUGUAGGUUUGAAAUCUGUCAGAAAGUGCACUUGUUAGAAAAAUGUGAUCUAACAGCUGAACCAGUACACUUUAACUUACCCUGUUUAGGAGUUUUUCAAUAUUUACUAGUUUUUGUUUGAAGAGAGCGAAUUAUGUAUCCCAGGGUUCUAGCGCUCCCACAAACAAACACAACAUGUUGUAAUGUUUCAAAAAUCUAAAAAAAAUCAUGUAUUUAGCACACAUUAAAUUAAAUAAACCUGCAGAAAUUCAAUGUCAAAUUCAUUCUACAUGUCAGGGAAAAAUACAACUUGUGUUUUUUGAAUCUUGUUAUCAGAGAUGAAUUUAAAAUUGGAUUAUCAUAGUUUCACUAAUGGGGAUCAGAAUCAGAACCCCUGGUAACAAAUGAAUUUCCUUUAUCAGAAAGUGCGCAUGAGAACAUUCAGCAGAAAUCAGAAUGGAUAUGUACCACUAGACAUAAGUAUAUGUGUAUGCAUUCCUUCAAUCAUAAGCAUUUCUCAAAGUAGAAAUUAUAUAUGCAUCUUUUUACCCCAAGAAAAUUGUUUAAAAAGUAUUAAAACAAUGAUUUGUAGCUAAGGGGAGUACUUGGAGUUGCACUCAAAGCUGAAAUCGCAGGCCCAUAGUAGCCUUGACUAGGGAUGCAACAAGUGCCCUUGCCAGCCCAGAAAAGAUGAAUCUCAAGGAAGUUUCUGGUGACAGGAACAGUAUACUGCUUCUUGACAGCAGUGUAAGAUUUCCCGCCUGCUUCCUUUCUUAUGUCAAAGUUCUGCUCCUUACGCUCACCCUGUACCAAAAGCAAGAAAAAAACAAUUAGAAAAUUUCAAUCAGCCCAUAAGCUAAAGACUCAAGUAAGUGUAAGUUAUCAGAAUGACUGGAACCUACCUGAACAUAGAUAUCAAAAACCCUUUUACCUAAACUCUUCCAAGUCUGCAUGUCUUCGAAGUCAAACUCUGCAAAUUGAAGUGUGACUGUAUAGUUUCCAUUCUCAAGUCCAAUGCCAUAGUAGCGUAAUGAUGAUGGAGACAUCCUUGCUGUCUGGAACAGUUCUGAAUCUAGAGUUUUCUGAAACUGGCGUGAGCUGUAGAUUAUGUAACUUCCAUUUUGUGCAUCCAUGAACUUCCCAACAUUGCUAACACCCCAUGUUGGUGCUCCUGUAACAUAAUAGGAAGCAGGUCCCAGAUCGGCGUUGUCAGUCUGAUACAUGGAAUUAUCUGAGCCUGAUAUAGAUCUAUUGCUCCCACAGUCCACAGCAAAGGAGGAAGCUGCAAGCAUGUUAAAUUAUUUAAUACUGAUGUUAUUUAGCGUAUCCUUAAAGUGCAGAAGUGGAAGCUCACAUUGUGGAGAGCCAAGAAAGCAGGGUGUGUCUCGCUGAAGGCAUCCUAGCCCCGAAGGUAAGGCACUGAAGAUGUCAAACAUUGUCAAUUUGAAUCCAAAAUAUGAGCUGAGGCCUGAGAGAACAUAAAAAUUGUACUUGAAGACUUUAAUGAUCUAUUUGAAUACAAACUGACCUGUUAUUGGAGUUGUUGAUUACGAAAUUGUUCGCCACCAAAUUCCUAUGUAGAAUGAAACAUGUGAAAAAAAGUUAGAAGGCACUAUUGCGGAGAAUCAAGAGAAACCAAAGCAGGGACAAAAUUGAUUCAGUUUUAUAAGAUAAGCAGUAAGGUAAAGUACACAUCUGCUUGUUCAAAGAUUUUAAAUCAUAGAUGACGUCAAAUGCAAAAAAAAGAAAAAAAAGAAAAAAUAAAUAUGAUCUAGGUGCAGCAAAAGCAGCUUUUUAGAUGUAGUCGAUAUUAAAAAAUGCUA
RNAcentral lists this long non-coding RNA (18840 nucleotides) under Setaria italica (foxtail millet). RNAcentral's name for it is "long non-coding RNA (SITA_LNC005431)". Lineage: Eukaryota; Viridiplantae; Streptophyta; Magnoliopsida; Poales; Poaceae. The record is from RNAcentral.